RNAcentral lists this ribosomal RNA (292 nucleotides) under uncultured bacterium. RNAcentral describes it as "partial 16S ribosomal RNA". The record is from RNAcentral.
GGACUACAAGGGUAUCUAAUCCUGUUUGCUCCCCACGCUUUCGUGUCUCAGCGUCAGUACUCGUCCAGUUGGCCGCCUUCGCCACAGGUAUUCCUCUCGAUAUCUACGAAUUUCACCUCUACACCGAGAAUUCUACCAACCUCUCCGGUACUCGAGCCACGCAGUAUCGGGUGCACUUCCUGGGUUGAGCCCAGGGCUUUCACAUCCGACUUGCGCGGCCGCCUACACACGCUUUACGCCCAGUAAUUCCGAACAACGUUUGCACCCUCUGUCUUACCGCGGCUGCUGGCAC